RNAcentral lists this ribosomal RNA (871 nucleotides) under Trapeliaceae sp. RNAcentral's name for it is "SSU rRNA". It matches the Rfam family "Bacterial small subunit ribosomal RNA", at positions 351 to 1265 of the family's 1533-position model. Lineage: Eukaryota; Fungi; Ascomycota; Lecanoromycetes; Trapeliales; Trapeliaceae. The record is from RNAcentral.
GCAGUGAGGGAUAUUGGUCAAUAGCCUAACGGCUGAACCAGCAACUUGGAGGAAUGUAUAGUGAAAGCUAAUUGCACUGGCCAAAGGCUGGUGCAAGAUCGACUAUGUUGAAUAAAGUUCUAGAGAGAGUUAUGAUAAUGACAUUUUCUAUCUAUGUGUCUUGACCAAAUCACGUGCCAGCAGUCGCGGUAAUACGUGGAAGACUAGUGUUAUUCAUCUUUAAUAGGUUUAAAGGGUACUUAGACGGUUAAUCAAACCCUAAAGGGUACUAAUUGACUAGAGUUUUAUAUGAGAAGGGGAGUACUAAAGAGUGUAGAGAUGAAAUUUUGUUAUACCUGACUUGGAACAGGCAACGGCGAAGGCAACCUUUUAUGUAAAAACUGACGUUGAAGGACGAAGGCUUAGGACACCAACAGGAUUAGAUACCCCAGCAGUCUAAGCAGAAAAUGAUGAAUGUCAUAGAUUAGAAUUACAGUUUUGUCUAUAAAUGAAAGUGUAAGCAUUCCACCUCAAGAGUAAUGUGGCAACGCAGAAACUGAAAUCAUUAGACCGUUUCUGAAACCAGUAGUGAAGUAUGUUGUUUAAUUUGUUGGCCCGCAAAACACCUUACCACAAUUUGAAUAUUAUAUAAUUGAAUAUUUUUGUUUUUAUAUAUUACAAGCGUUGCACGGCUGUUUUCAGUUAAUGUCGUGAGAUUUUGGUUAGUUCCAUUAAAUUAACGUAAACCCUUACUUUAUUUAUUAUUAUAAAGUAGUUCACCGCUAUAUUGGAUAUGAUAAAAGGGAAUAAGACAAGUCAAUAUGGCCUUAAUAUUGUGGGCUAUAGACGUGCCACAUAUGCCUUUACAAAGGGAUGCGAAAUUGUGAAAUGG